Molecule: transfer RNA, 75 nt
Filed under: Virgisporangium aurantiacum
Lineage: Bacteria; Bacillati; Actinomycetota; Actinomycetes; Micromonosporales; Micromonosporaceae
Description: tRNA-Gly
Rfam family: tRNA
About the family: Transfer RNA (tRNA) molecules are approximately 80 nucleotides in length. Their secondary structure includes four short double-helical elements and three loops (D, anti-codon, and T loops).
Source: RNAcentral
GCGGAUCUGGUGAGGCUGGGUGCUCACGUCGGUCUUCCAAACCGAAGACGCGGGUUCGAUUCCCGCGAUCCGCUC